GGGAUGUUCCUCCGGCCCAGUACUCCUCAGCUCUCAGCUCUCUUCACUUCCAGUUUAACAACUUGUUGUGACCGAGUGGUGACACCGAUGUAUUGGGCCUUUUUGACGUCUGUUUGCGGAGGACUAAUAGUUUCCCCCUGGGGAAUCUUUAAAGUUGGGUUGAAUUUAGAGCGUUUCCCCCAUUUCCCUGGUCCUCCUUUGAAACCACUUAACACACACGGUACACGUGAUGCAUUGCGUUUUUUGGCUAAAGAAAGCAGAGCACAGCAGGGAUUCUCUGUGAGAUAUACAGCUACUUGAUUUUGUUACUGACAGCAUGGGGUGAGGUGUGUUUACGAGAGAUCUGCUUCCCUUAAUACUAAACGGUGUAAAAACAACUGGAAAAAAACAACUAUAUAUAUAUCCACACAAAUUAUCACUGACACGUUUCCAAGGUGUCCUUUAGUGACAAUACAACACUCGCAACUCACGCUUGGAUGUUCAACAACUAACGCGCAAAGAAAGAAAUGACAAAACAACCAUACAAACAGCAUUUUUGUUGUGUUAUUUAUGCUUGCCCAGGAGUCCAGGAGUUGGCCAAAUGAUGCUUGACUGUAAUCCUCUUGCUGUUUUUAUUUCUAUCCCAGUGAUGUCACCAAUAUUGUAACGGAGCUUGCUAUGAGCACCACAGCUAUCGCCCCGAUCAUCCAGCACUAUGGAGCGAUGUGCAUCAAAGGCAGCUAACAUCCAUGCGCACAAACAUACACCAAGACAAACUUCAUUCACAAAACAGCUGAACAAUCUUCCCAGGCCUCAUCAUGUGAUCCCGUAUUGUUAGUGUGAGAAUGAGGCACAGCUACUCGGAUCGAGCACGCAGCAGCAAAAAGAAAAAAGAGGCUAACAAGCAACAGGAUGUCAAUUACAUGGCAGCAGUGAAAUCCACACUUCAUGUCGGCUUAAAGCUG
This is a long non-coding RNA of Gasterosteus aculeatus aculeatus (three-spined stickleback), 944 nucleotides long. The record is from Ensembl. NCBI's taxonomy places the organism in Eukaryota, Metazoa, Chordata, Actinopteri, Perciformes, Gasterosteidae.